GAUUGAUCUUUGGGGUUAAAUAAGAGCACUUUUCACUAUAUGAGUCAUCCGUGCAUGGCUCUGUAGGACCCAGAGGACUUCACCCACACCUGCUUGUCAGGACAGUGCCCUCAGAGCCUCCGGAGGCCACGGUCCAGCCUCACAGAGGAACCAGCUUCUGUCGUAGAGGGGGUUACAGCAGGGAUAGGAGGAGCUUUCCAUGAGAGCUGAUCAGAGCUCUGGGGAGUGCAGAGGGGCUCCGUGCCUGAGUCCACAUAUAAGCUGAGGUGAGAAGCUCAAGUCGGAGCCUGGCUUGGGGACUGUAAUUGCAGACUUUCCUCCCCUCCAGACUCUCCUACACAUGGGUAAUCUCAGAGCACUGGAGGAGACUCACAGCCGACCUCCCAACACCCACUUCCUUUCAUGUUCCCUCACUUUGCUCAUUUUCCUGAGGAACAACUGACUUUUUAAGAAAGACAGGGACAUGGUCAGGCCUGGA
This 478-nucleotide long non-coding RNA is filed under the name Bos taurus (domestic cattle). Its description in RNAcentral is "long non-coding RNA NONBTAT004137". Lineage: Eukaryota; Metazoa; Chordata; Mammalia; Artiodactyla; Bovidae. The record is from RNAcentral.